Molecule: ribosomal RNA, 1074 nt
Filed under: uncultured soil bacterium
Lineage: Bacteria
Description: bacterial SSU rRNA
Rfam family: Bacterial small subunit ribosomal RNA
Source: RNAcentral
AGAGUUUGAUCCUGGCUCAGGACGAACGCUGGCGGCGUGCCUAAUACAUGCAAGUCGAGCGCGGGAAGCGAGCUGAUCCCUUCGGGGUGACGCUCGUGGAACGAGCGGCGGACGGGUGAGUAACACGUGGGCAACCUGCCUGUAAGAUCGGAAUAACUUCGGGAAACCGGAGCUAAUGCCGGGUAAUACCUUCUUUCGCAUGAAGGAAGGUUGAAAGAUGGCUUUUAGCUAUCACUUACAGAUGGGCCCGCGGCGCAUUAGCUAGUUGGUGAGGUAACGGCUCACCAAGGCGACGAUGCGUAGCCGACCUGAGAGGGUGAUCGGCCACACUGGGACUGAGACACGGCCCAGACUCCUACGGGAGGCAGCAGUAGGGAAUCUUCCGCAAUGGACGAAAGUCUGACGGAGCAACGCCGCGUGAACGAUGAAGGUCUUCGGAUCGUAAAGUUCUGUUGUUAGGGAAGAACAAGUACCGUGCGAAUAGAGCGGUACCUUGACGGUACCUAACGAGGAAGCCCCGGCUAACUACGUGCCAGCAGCCGCGGUAAUACGUAGGGGGCAAGCGUUGUCCGGAAUUAUUGGGCGUAAAGCGCGCGCAGGCGGUUCCUUAAGUCUGAUGUGAAAGCCCACGGCUCAACCGUGGAGGGUCAUUGGAAACUGGGGAACUUGAGGACAGAAGAGGAGAGUGGAAUUCCACGUGUAGCGGUGAAAUGCGUAGAUAUGUGGAGGAACACCAGUGGCGAAGGCGACUCUCUGGUCUGUUUCUGACGCUGAGGUGCGAAAGCGUGGGUAGCAAACAGGAUUAGAUACCCUGGUAGUCCACGCCGUAAACGAUGAGUGCUAGGUGUUAGGGGGCUUCCACCCCUUAGUGCUGAAGUUAACGCAUUAAGCACUCCGCCUGGGGAGUACGACCGCAAGGUUGAAACUCAAAGGAAUUGACGGGGCCCGCACAAGCGGUGGAGCAUGGUGGUUUAAUUCGAGCAACGCGAAGAACCUUACCAGGUCUUGACAUCCUUGGACCCUCCUAGAAGAUAGGAGCUUCCCUUCGGGGACAACUGACAGGGGGGUGCAUGG